AUGCACAGAUCAUACUUCCUUCCCUUUGCAUCUCAGGCUGCUAAUUCAACCAGGCAGUGCUACCUUCAUCAGCAAGAACCAGCUCAGGUAACACAAGACCAAUAUCAGCCCUUCUUCUGUCAGAGAGGACAUGAACCUUUAUCUUCUCAAGCUGAAAGAGAGAGACUCAAUAGAUCUGCAUCUAUAGACCGCAACGCUCUUUUCAUCCAUCUGUCGAAAUGUGUGUACCUGACUGCUUCGGCGGCCACAGAUACAGCACUCAGCACAACAGCUGAAUCACUUGGGGUUUUGGUCUGUUUUUAAUUACUUCCACUGAAAUUCAGGCAGCACCAAUGAUGGGGAGGUGCACCCCACUGGCUCGCUCACCUUUUAGAGGGUGCAAAGGGAAUCGGGGAGCUGGCAUUCCAAGUCAAGGGUGAGGUGAGAGACAUGAUGCUGCAAGUUGUAUCAGCAAGUUGGUAUGGGAGUAAAUUAAAGAGUAGGAGCAUGGGUUUGUAGCAGCAGGAGAGAUGAGGGAUUUAAGAGGUGAUGGAUAAAUGCACCUCCUGUUAACCUGCACCUUUUAAGUACCAUCCAACCACCCAGCAGAAUCCACAACUGAUGUUGUGGUGCUGUGAAAUGCUGUUAGUCCCAAUCAGCUGGCAACCCCACAGGUGCCACCAGCCCUGACCUGUGCAAAUCGCAGCUUCUGCUGCUCGCAGGCUGAUGGAGGUGCCACGAGCAGGAGCAGCGUGCUUCAUCUGGCAGGGGCUGGUGGCAAAUUGUAAAAGCUCUUCCCAUAGAGAGAAAGAAGCUAAUUUCUUACUAAUUAUUUGCCAAACAGCAUGUAAUUAAAUAGUGCAGAACUGUCGACAAUGCAUCUUUGGGUCUUUAGGCCAUAUAUUUUUCUCUUCGUGGCACACUCCUCCAGUGCUUCAAGGCUACUACACACUGCAGAGCAGUGAAGGAACAGAGUGAUAAUUGAACAAUUAACAAAUGAUGUCAUAAAACAAUGUACUUAAAAUAAAAUGCAUAAUUAAAAUAACUGAACCACAAAAAAGAUGCAGCAGCAUACAGAAAAAGCACACAGACACACACACACACAAAAAUCCUUGAGAAUAAGCCCCACGUAGGAACUGAAAUAUGCCAUUUAAAGGAAAAAAAAUAGCACCAGAGUGGUUAAGCAAAGAUGUGGAAUAAACUAGCAAGCAACAGUGAUUUGCAAAAACUAUAAUAAUGUUGCAAAAUAACUAUUCUCUGUAGUUAACAAGUUUGGACCAUAAAACAGUCCUUUGGUGACUCCCUGCAUCAUUAUUUGCUACCAAGGCACUGCAUUGAUGGGCUCAUAGGGAUCCAGGGAUCCAGCGUUAGAUCAGUAAGCAGGAAAGCAGAGGUCCCACUGGAUUUCCUGCCUGGAGAGCUGUUAGGAUCCAUGCUAGUUCUUUAAAGAGCAGAGCUGUG
This 1440-nucleotide long non-coding RNA is filed under the name Cairina moschata (Muscovy duck). RNAcentral's name for it is "domestica (muscovy Duck (domestic type)) lncRNA (ENSCMMG00000007153.1)". The record is from RNAcentral. Lineage: Eukaryota; Metazoa; Chordata; Aves; Anseriformes; Anatidae.